CAGGGUAGUCUAGUGGUUAGAGUGUAGAGGGGGCAGGUAGCCUAGUGGUUAGAGUGUAGAGGAGGCAGGUAGCCUAGUGGUUAGAGUGUAGAGGAGGCAGGUAGCCUAGUGGUUAGAGUGUAGAGGAGGCAGGUAGCCUAGUGGUUAGAGUGGAGGGGCGGCAGGGUAGUCUAGUGGUUAGAGUGUAGAGGCGGCAGGGUAGUCUAGUGGUUAGAGUGGAGGGGCGGCAGGGUAGCCUAGUGGUUAGAGUGUAGAGGAGGCAGGUAGUCUAGUGGUUAGAGUGUAGAGGAGGCAGGUAGUCUAGUGGUUAGAGUGGAGGGGCGGCAGGGUAGCCUAGUGGUUAGAGUGUAGAGGAGGCAGGUAGUCUAGUGGUUAGAGUGUAGAGGGGGCAGGGUAGUCUAGUGGUUAGAGUGGAGGGGCGGCAGGGUAGCCUAGUGGUUAGAGUGUAGGGGCGGCAGGGUAGCCUAGUGGUUAGAGUGUAGAGGAGGCAGGUAGUCUAGUGGUUAGAGUGUAGAGGAGGCAGGUAGUCUAGUGGUUAGAGUGGAGGGGCGGCAGGGUAGCCUAGUGGUUAGAGUGUAGAGGAGGCAGGUAGUCUAGUGGUUAGAGUGUAGAGGAGGCAGGUAGCCUAGUGGUUAGAGUGUAGAGGAGGCAGGUAGUCUAGUGGUUAGAGUGUAGAGGAGGCAGGUAGCCUAGUGGUUAGAGUGUAGAGGAGGCAGGUAGUCUAGUGGUUAGAGUGUAGAGGAGGCAGGUAGUCUAGUGGUUAGAGUGUAGAGGAGGCAGGUAGUCUAGUGGUUAGAGUGUAGAGGCGGCAGGGUAGUCUCGUGGUUAGAGUGGAGGGGCGGCAGGGUAGUCUAGUGGUUAGAGUGUAGAGGAGGCAGGUAGCCUAGUGGUUAGAGUGUAGAGGAGGCAGGUAGUCUAGUGGUUAGAGUGUAGAGGAGGCAGGUAGUCUAGUGGUUAGAGUGUAGAGGAGGCAGGUAGUCUAGUGGUUAGAGUGUAGAGGAGGCAGGUAGUCUAGUGGUUAGAGUGUAGAGGAGGCAGGUAGCCUAGUGGUUAGAGUGUAGAGGAGGCAGGUAGUCUAGUGGUUAGAGUGUAGAGGAGGCAGGUAGUCUAGUGGUUAGAGUGUAGAGGAGGCAGGGUAGCCUAGUGGUUAGAGUGUAGAGGCGGCAGGGUAGUCUAGUGGUUAGAGUGUAGAGGCGGCAGGGUAGCCUAGUGGUUAGAGUGUAGAGGAGGCAGGUAGCCUAGUGGUUAGAGUGGAGGGGCGGCAGGGUAGUCUAGUGGUUAGAGUGGAGGGGAGGCAGGUAGUCUAGUGGUUAGAGUGUAGAGGAGGCAGGUAGUCUAGUGGUUAGAGUGUAGAGGCGGCAGGGUAGCCUAGUGGUUAGAGUCGAGGGGCGGCAGGGUAGUCUAGUGGUUAGAGUGUAGAGGCGGCAGGGUAGCCUAGUGGUUAGAGUGUAGAGGAGGCAGGUAGCCUAGUGGUUAGAGUGUAGAGGCAGCAGGGUAGCCUAGUGGUUAGAGUGUAGAGGCAGCAGGGUAGCCUAGUGGUUAGAGUGUAGAGGCAGCAGGGUAGCCUAGUGGUUAGAGUGUAGAGGAGGCAGGGUAGCCUAGUGGUUAGAGUGUAGAGGCAGCAGGGUAGCCUAGUGGUUAGAGUGUAGAGGAGGCAGGGUAGCCUAGUGGUUAGAGUGUAGAGGCAGCAGGGUAGCCUAGUGGUUAGAGUAUAGAGGCGGCAGGGUAGCCUAGUGGUUAGAGUGUAGAGGUGGCAGGGUAGCCUAGUGGUUAGAGUGUAGAGGCGGCAGGGUAGUCUAGUGGUUAGAGUGGAGGGGAGGCAGGUAGUCUAGUGGUUAGAGUGUAGAGGAGGCAGGUAGUCUAGUGGUUAGAGUGUAGAGGCGGCAGGGUAGCCUAGUGGUUAGAGUCGAGGGGCGGCAGGGUAGUCUAGUGGUUAGAGUGUAGAGGCGGCAGGGUAGCCUAGUGGUUAGAGUGUAGAGGAGGCAGGUAGCCUAGUGGUUAGAGUGUAGAGGCAGCAGGGUAGCCUAGUGGUUAGAGUGUAGAGGCAGCAGGGUAGCCUAGUGGUUAGAGUGUAGAGGCAGCAGGGUAGCCUAGUGGUUAGAGUGUAGAGGAGGCAGGGUAGCCUAGUGGUUAGAGUGUAGAGGCAGCAGGGUAGCCUAGUGGUUAGAGUGUAGAGGAGGCAGGGUAGCCUAGUGGUUAGAGUGUAGAGGCAGCAGGGUAGCCUAGUGGUUAGAGUAUAGAGGCGGCAGGGUAGCCUAGUGGUUAGAGUGUAGAGGUGGCAGGGUAGCCUAGUGGUUAGAGUG
Oncorhynchus keta (chum salmon) is the source of this 2303-nucleotide long non-coding RNA. RefSeq lists it as uncharacterized. Lineage: Eukaryota; Metazoa; Chordata; Actinopteri; Salmoniformes; Salmonidae. The transcript is spliced from 4 exons. The record is from RefSeq and is a predicted model, not a curated record.